AAGAGACAGCAGUAGCCGCGGUAAUACGUAGGUGGCAAGCGUUGUCCGGAAUUAUUGGGCGUAAAGGGCUCGCAGGCGGUUUCUUAAGUCUGAUGUGAAAGCCCCCGGCUCAACCGGGGAGGGUCAUUGGAAACUGGGAAACUUGAGUGCAGAAGAGGAGAGUGGAAUUCCACGUGUAGCGGUGAAAUGCGUAGAGAUGUGGAGGAACACCAGUGGCGAAGGCGACUCUCUGGUCUGUAACUGACGCUGAGGAGCGAAAGCGUGGGGAGCGAACAGGAUUAGAUACCCGCGUAGUCCCUGUCUCUUAUAC
Molecule: ribosomal RNA, 310 nt
Filed under: uncultured bacterium
Lineage: Bacteria
Description: partial 16S ribosomal RNA
Rfam family: Bacterial small subunit ribosomal RNA
Source: RNAcentral